GAUGAAGAACGCAGCGAAAUGCGAUAAGUAAUGUGAAUUGCAGAAUUCAGUGAAUCAUCGAAUCUUUGAACGCACAUUGCGCCCGCCAGCACUCUGGCGGGCAUGCCUGUUCGGGCGUCAUUUCAACCAUCAAGCCCCCAGGGGCUUGUGCUGGGGCCCUGCGGCUGCCCGCAGGCCCUGAAAACCAGUGGCGGGCUCGCUAGUCACACCGAGCGCAGUAGCACAUCUCGCUCAGGGCGUGCGGCGGGCUCCUGCCGUGAAACCCCCCACUGUAACCCCAAAGGUUGACCUCGGAUCAGGUAGGAAUACCCGCUGAACUUAAGCAUAUCAAUAAGCGGAGGA
This 342-nucleotide unclassified non-coding RNA is filed under the name soil metagenome. RNAcentral's name for it is "partial contains 5.8S ribosomal RNA, internal transcribed spacer 2, and large subunit ribosomal RNA". The stretch from base 1 to 120 matches the Rfam family "5.8S ribosomal RNA", at positions 35 to 154 of the family's 154-position model. The record is from RNAcentral.